RNAcentral lists this ribosomal RNA (751 nucleotides) under uncultured bacterium. Its description in RNAcentral is "bacterial SSU rRNA". It matches the Rfam family "Bacterial small subunit ribosomal RNA", at positions 62 to 824 of the family's 1533-position model. The record is from RNAcentral.
UCGAACGGACUCAUACUGAAACCUAGUGAUCUAUGAGUUAGUGGCGGACCGGUGAGUAACACGUGAGCAACCUGCCUUUGAGAGGGGAAUAACGGCUGGAAACGGUCGCUAAUACCGCAUAACGUACGGAUGGGACAUCCUGUCUGUACCAAAGAUUUAUCGCUCGAAGAUGGGCUCGCGUCCGAUUAGGUAGUUGGUGAGGUAACGGCCCACCAAGCCGACGAUCGGUAGCCGGACUGAGAGGUUGAACGGCCACAUUGGGACUGAGACACGGCCCAGACUCCUACGGGAGGCAGCAGUGGGGGAUAUUGCACAAUGGGGGAAACCCUGAUGCAGCGACGCCGCGUGUGGGAAGACGGUCUUCUGGAUCGUAAACCACUGUCCCCAGGGACGAAAAUGACGGUACCUGGGGAGGAAGCUCCGACUAACUACGUGCCAGCAGCCGCGGUAAUACGUAGGGAGCAAGCGUUGUCCGGAAUUACUGGGUGUAAAGGGAGCGUAGGCGAGGAUGCAAGUUGGGUGUCAAAACUACCGGCUCAACCGAUAGUCGCACUCAAAACUGCAGCUCUUGAGUGAAGUAGAGGCAGGCGGAAUUCCUAGUGUAGCGGUGAAAUGCGUAGAUAUUAGGAGGAACACCAGUGGCGAAGGCGGCCUGCUGGGCUUUUACUGACGCUGAGGCUCGAAAGUGUGGGGAGCAAACAGGAUUAGAUACCCUGGUAGUCCACACCGUAAACGAUGAUUACUAGGUGUG